This 253-nucleotide ribosomal RNA is filed under the name uncultured bacterium. Its description in RNAcentral is "partial 16S ribosomal RNA". It matches the Rfam family "Bacterial small subunit ribosomal RNA", at positions 524 to 776 of the family's 1533-position model. The record is from RNAcentral. RNAcentral also lists the same sequence under 1 other name.
UACAGAGGGUGCCAGCGUUGUUCGGAAUCACUGGGCGUAAAGCGCGUGUAGGCGGUCUCCUAAGUCAGGUGUGAAAUCCCCCAGCUUAACUGGGGAAGUGCGCCUGAAACUGGGAGGCUUGAGUAUCGGAGAGGGUAGGGGAAUUCCCGGUGUAGAGGUGAAAUUCGUAGAUAUCGGGAGGAACACCGGUGGCGAAGGCGCCUACCUGGACGGUAACUGACGCUGAGACGCGAAAGCGUGGGUAGCAAACAGG